UUUUAGCCCUGAUGGGAGCGGCAUCCUUUAUGUUUUUUCUUUAAAAACAUAAAGAUAUAGCGUACAGCAGGAAAUAGC
Molecule: small RNA, 78 nt
Filed under: Flavobacterium crassostreae
Lineage: Bacteria; Pseudomonadati; Bacteroidota; Flavobacteriia; Flavobacteriales; Flavobacteriaceae
Description: Flavo-1 RNA
Rfam family: Flavo-1 RNA
Source: Rfam by way of RNAcentral